This 443-nucleotide ribosomal RNA is filed under the name uncultured bacterium. RNAcentral describes it as "partial 16S ribosomal RNA". It matches the Rfam family "Bacterial small subunit ribosomal RNA", at positions 338 to 795 of the family's 1533-position model. The record is from RNAcentral.
CCUACGGGAGGCAGCAGUGGGGAAUAUUGGGCAAUGGGCGCAAGCCUGACCCAGCAACGCCGCGUGAAGGAAGAAGGCAUUCGGGUUGUAAACUUCUUUUCUCAGGGACGAAGAAAGUGACGGUACCUGAGGAAUAAGCCACGGCUAACUACAUGCCAGCAGCCGCGGUAAUACGUCGGUGGCAAGCGUUAUCCGGAUUUAUUGGGUGUAAAGGGCGUGUAGGCGGGAGCGCAAGUCAGAUGUGAAAACCCGGGGCUCAACCCUGAGCCUGCAGUUGAAACUGUGUGUCUUGAGUGCUGGAGAGGCAAUCGGAAUUCGGGGUGUAGCGGUGAAAUGCAUAGAUAUCACGCAGAACCCCGAUUGCGAAGGCAGCAUACUGGCGCCAUACUGACGCUGAGGCACGAAAGUGUGGGUAUCGAACAGGAUUAGAUACCCUUGUAGUC